RNAcentral lists this transfer RNA (69 nucleotides) under Candidatus Obscuribacterales bacterium. RNAcentral's name for it is "tRNA-Arg". Lineage: Bacteria; Bacillati; Candidatus Melainabacteria; Candidatus Obscuribacterales. The record is from RNAcentral.
GCCCGGACCGAAUUGAUAAGGUUAUCGCUACGAACGAGGUGGUCGGUGGUUCGAAUCCACCCAGCGGCU